Molecule: ribosomal RNA, 200 nt
Filed under: uncultured bacterium
Lineage: Bacteria
Description: partial 16S ribosomal RNA
Rfam family: Bacterial small subunit ribosomal RNA
Source: RNAcentral
AGAGUUUGAUCCUGGCUCAGGACGAACGCUGGCGGCGUGCCUAAUACAUGCAAGUCGAGCGGACCGGAGGGAGCUUGCUCCCAAAGGUUAGCGGCGGACGGGUGAGUAACACGUGGGCAAUCUGCCCGACAGACUGGGAUAACGCUUGGAAACGAGUGCUAAUACCGGAUAAGCGAUUUCCUCGCAUGAGGAGAUCGAGA